CUGAUGCGUUGUUGGGUAGGGGAGCGUUCUGUAAGCCUGUGAAGGUGGCCUGUGAGGGUUGCUGGAGGUAUCAGAAGUGCGAAUGCUGACAUAAGUAACGAUAAAGCGGGUGAAAAGCCCGCUCGCCGGAAGACCAAGGGUUCCUGUCCAACGUUAAUCGGGGCAGGGUGAGUCGACCCCUAAGGCGAGGCCGAAAGGCGUAGUCGAUGGGAAACGGGUUAAUAUUCCCGUACUUGGUGUUACUGCGAAGGGGGGACGGAGAAGGCUAUGUUGGCCGGGCGACGGUUGUCCCGGUUUAAGCGUGUAGGUGUGUGUUCCAGGUAAAUCCGGUUCACUUUAACACUGAGGCGUGAUGACGAGGCACUACGGUGCUGAAGCAACAAAUGCCCUGCUUCCAGGAAAAGCCUCUAAGCAUCAGGUAACAUCAAAUCGUACCCCAAACCGACACAGGUGGUCAGGUAGAGAAUACCAAGGCGCUUGAGAGAACUCGGGUGAAGGAACUAGGCAAAAUGGUGCCGUAACUUCGGGAGAAGGCACGCUGACACGUAGGUGAAGUGAUUUACUCAUGGAGCUGAAGUCAGUCGAAGAUACCAGCUGGCUGCAACUGUUUAUUAAAAACACAGCACUGUGCAAACACGAAAGUGGACGUAUACGGUGUGACGCCUGCCCGGUGCCGGAAGGUUAAUUGAUGGGGUCAGCGCAAGCGAAGCUCCUGAUCGAAGCCCCGGUAAACGGCGGCCGUAACUAUAACGGUCCUAAGGUAGCGAAAUUCCUUGUCGGGUAAGUUCCGACCUGCACGAAUGGCGUAAUGAUGGCCAGGCUGUCUCCACCCGAGACUCAGUGAAAUUGAACUCGCUGUGAAGAUGCAGUGUACCCGCGGCAAGACGGAAAGACCCCGUGAACCUUUACUAUAGCUUGACACUGAACAUUGAGCCUUGAUGUGUAGGAUAGGUGGGAGGCUUUGAAGUGUGGACGCCAGUCUGCAUGGAGCCGACCUUGAAAUACCACCCUUUAAUGUUUGAUGUUCUAACGUGGACCCGUAAUCCGGGUUGCGGACAGUGUCUGGUGGGUAGUUUGACUGGGGCGGUCUCCUCCUAAAGAGUAACGGAGGAGCACGAAGGUUGGCUAAUCCUGGUCGGACAUCAGGAGGUUAGUGCAAUGGCAUAAGCCAGCUUGACUGCGAGCGUGACGGCGCGAGCAGGUGCGAAAGCAGGUCAUAGUGAUCCGGUGGUUCUGAAUGGAAGGGCCAUCGCUCAACGGAUAAAAGGUACUCCGGGGAUAACAGGCUGAUACCGCCCAAGAGUUCAUAUCGACGGCGGUGUUUGGCACCUCGAUGUCGGCUCAUCACAUCCUGGGGCUGAAGUAGGUCCCAAGGGUAUGGCUGUUCGCCAUUUAAAGUGGUACGCGAGCUGGGUUUAGAACGUCGUGAGACAGUUCGGUCCCUAUCUGCCGUGGGCGCUGGAGAACUGAGGGGGGCUGCUCCUAGUACGAGAGGACCGGAGUGGACGCAUCACUGGUGUUCGGGUUGUCAUGCCAAUGGCACUGCCCGGUAGCUAAAUGCGGAAGAGAUAAGUGCUGAAAGCAUCUAAGCACGAAACUUGCCCCGAGAUGAGUUCUCCCUGAGACUUUA
RNAcentral lists this ribosomal RNA (1630 nucleotides) under Salmonella enterica. Its description in RNAcentral is "partial 23S ribosomal RNA". It matches the Rfam family "Bacterial large subunit ribosomal RNA", at positions 1213 to 2824 of the family's 2925-position model. Lineage: Bacteria; Pseudomonadati; Pseudomonadota; Gammaproteobacteria; Enterobacterales; Enterobacteriaceae. The record is from RNAcentral.